GUCCAGGGAUGUGAAUCGAACCCACAGUGUUCCGCUUACCGGGCAGAUGCCAUGUCCACUAGGCUACCCUGGA
RNAcentral lists this transfer RNA (73 nucleotides) under Cordylochernes scorpioides. Its description in RNAcentral is "tRNA-Thr". The record is from RNAcentral. Lineage: Eukaryota; Metazoa; Arthropoda; Arachnida; Pseudoscorpiones; Chernetidae.